GUCUCUCUUUGUGUGUUGUUAAUUGUAAUUCACAAAUACCAAAAUUCAAAUACUGUACAGACUUUCUGUAUAUUUUAUUCAUUUGUGUAGAGGUUCCAUCCUCUGUAUUUCAUUUACAACUUAUACAAAAACAAUCCUUUGAAUUAAAAAUACAUUUUAUUACACCAACUUGUAUUUACAUUUUCAUGACUAGAAUAUACAUUUUUACUUUGGGCAUUACUUUGGCUACAGAGUAUUCUAUAAUAUUUUGUUGAGGCGCCAGGGUGACUACCGAUUACUAUACACAAUGGCUAUCAGCUGACCUAUGUUGACAUAGUGUCAUAAAUCCCUGGUAGUUAAACACGGUUACACCACCACCUACCAUGGGGAGUGACCGGGGAAAACACUCGUAUUACCAAUGCUCCAGUUAUUAGUGCCCACCUGUUGGCAGGUGUAGGCCUCCCCUCUAUAAGAUGAGGUGGAGGAGGUC
This 469-nucleotide long non-coding RNA is filed under the name Mytilus galloprovincialis (Mediterranean mussel). Lineage: Eukaryota; Metazoa; Mollusca; Bivalvia; Mytilida; Mytilidae. The record is from RNAcentral.